Molecule: ribosomal RNA, 253 nt
Filed under: uncultured bacterium
Lineage: Bacteria
Description: partial 16S ribosomal RNA
Rfam family: Bacterial small subunit ribosomal RNA
Source: RNAcentral
UACGAAGGGGGCUAGCGUUGUUCGGAAUUACUGGGCGUAAAGCGCACGUAGGCGGAUAUUUAAGUCAGGGGUGAAAUCCCGGGGCUCAACCCCGGAACUGCCUUUGAUACUGGGUAUCUCGAGUCCGAGAGAGGUGAGUGGAACUGCGAGCGUAGAGGUGAAAUUCGUAGAUAUUCGCAAGAACACCAGUGGCGAAGGCGGCUCACUGGCCCGGUACUGACGCUGAGGUGCGAAAGCGUGGGGAGCAAACAGG